UCUAUUGUCGCUUCUACGUCAGCACAGCGCCCUGGUAACCAGCAACACCGCCCCUUCCUUUAUUCCUCUUACCAGAUGAACUAUGUAGUUUACUGUCUUCAAAGCAUGAAAUUCAGAUGAUGAACUUGUGAAGUUCAGUUGAUGUGAGAAAUUGAGCAGUGCUCGGAUAUCAUGGGUGAAUUAUUUUGUUGUUUAAAAGGAGUUCAGAUGGUGCUCCUCAAUACUGCUCCUAUGUAGUGCCGACUGCCGAUGUUGGCCACUGUACGUCAACCACCUUGCUCAGAAUGUUAGUCUGUCAGGCAGCAUCAUUCUGCUAGACUCCAUUGGUUGCAUCUGAAGUUCACAUGUUCUCUUAAACUGCAAGUGAUAUUUUAGCAUCUCUUAGUAGAAUUUGUGUACUUGACCUGGGAGUUUAAAAAUGUGUAAUCACAAAAUUGCAGCACUGAUGUAAGUGUUUGUAAUAGGAAAUCCACUUGAUCUAAGUUCAGCAACUGAGCAUGCUACAUCUGUCUAAUUGAUUAUACGUCUCUCUACCUCUGAUGGCUACGUCAUGUCUGAGAGCGAGGAUUUACAUUAGCAUUGAAAGUUCACUUUUCCCUGUGCGGUAAGUUCAUUAAUUCUUAUCAGGAAGUUAAAUUCGUCCGCCCCAAAAAACCUCGCUGUAAUAAAGCAGGGAACAGAAGUUCACUGUGAACUGUAGGAGUUAUUAUUUAAACUUGAAAACAUUUUAUUGAUUUGCUGGUUGGUUGGUAGCUGCUAACUUUUAUUAAUAAGCAUGGAGAUAUUUUAAAAGUUUGGAAUUUUUAAAAGCCGGCGUGUCUAGAGGAGCCUGAGCUGGAGCAUUUCCUUGAGGCAAUGGUUUGAGUGACAAAGAGGAAGCAACGGAAAGGCGUCUCCUGGGUGCUGAUGCCUUUUUCAACCUACCAUGCCAUGGCCCUGUUCGACAAAAUGGCAGUUCUGGAUCAUGUGAAAACAGGGAAAAUGGUAGUUCACUCUUCAUACUUUCGUGGUUCUCUGUAUUAAAAGUUAGAACUCCAGUUUGCUUAUAGCUAGUAAAACCUUUACUCAGUAAGCUGCUGAGUUUGCUAUGUAGAAACAAGAGUACUGCUUUCCAGAGGUUCAGUUUUGUAUUCUGACGAAGUUCUAUUUAGUGUUUCUUCUGAAAUCCAGUUCAAGGUCAUGACCAUGUGUUUUCCAGAGAUUCAAAGUCUUAUCAUUUCGGAUGCAACCAAUGUGCCAUGCCAUGGAAGCAAGUAAGCAUUAAG
Non-coding RNA from Lolium perenne, 1265 nucleotides. NCBI's taxonomy places the organism in Eukaryota, Viridiplantae, Streptophyta, Magnoliopsida, Poales, Poaceae. The record is from RefSeq and is a predicted model, not a curated record.